RNAcentral lists this ribosomal RNA (440 nucleotides) under uncultured bacterium. Its description in RNAcentral is "partial 16S ribosomal RNA". It matches the Rfam family "Bacterial small subunit ribosomal RNA", at positions 338 to 795 of the family's 1533-position model. The record is from RNAcentral.
CCUACGGGUGGCAGCAGUGGGGAAUAUUGCACAAUGGUGGGAACCCUGAUGCAGCAAUGCCGCGUGGGUGAAGAAGCACUCCGGUGCGUAAAGCCCUGUCAGCAGGGCAGAAAAUGACCGUACCUGACCAAGAAUCCCCGGCUAACUACGUGCCAGCAGCCGCGGUAAUACGUAGGGGGCCAGCGUUAUCCGGAUUUACUUGGUGUAAAGGGGGCGCAGACGGCAAUGCAAGCCCGGAGUGAACGCCCUGGGCCCAACCCCGGGACUGCUCUUGGAACUGCAUGGCUGGAGUACAGGAGGGGCAGGCGGAAUUCCUAGUGUAGCGGUGAAAGGCGUAGAUAUUAGGAGGAACGCCGGUGGCGAAGGCGGCAUGCUGGACUGUGACUGACGUUGAGGCCCGAAGGCGUGGGGAGCAAACAGGAUUAGAUACCCCUGUAGUC